RNAcentral lists this long non-coding RNA (278 nucleotides) under Solanum tuberosum (potato). Its description in RNAcentral is "long non-coding RNA (STUB_LNC009121)". The record is from RNAcentral. Lineage: Eukaryota; Viridiplantae; Streptophyta; Magnoliopsida; Solanales; Solanaceae.
CUAGAUACAGGUCACAAGGCUGAUAGAACUAAUUUCAAAUCUAAUAGUACUCUAUCAUCGAGAUAGAACUAUUGAAUCACACCCAAUGUCGACUCUACACAGUGUUUCAUAUACCUAAUUUCAAAUACCAUUCAAACCAUUAUACACCUCAUACCAACACUUAAGAAAUUCUUGGUCAUGUUUAUAUACUAGGAGCACAUAACCUCUAUUUACUAUCAAGUGUCUAUGUAACACAGCACAUCAGCGUGUGUAGUCUCAUUUAAAAUAGUAGUUUCACU